GGCUGCUUAAGACGGAAGCUCGGUUGAUGUUUCUGCAGAAGUUUUCCCCCUUGGUCGGUGGCGGAGCUGCUGAGCGCGAUAGUAGCAGCUCCGGCGGCAGCAACAUUGACUACGAGGAAUGGCGGCGGCUGCCGCAGGACCUGCAGCAUCCCAGAGGUUUUUCCAGAGCUUCUCAGAUGCUCUAAUCGACCAGGACCCCCAGGCGGCGUUAGAGUAGAGACGGGGUUUCACCAUGUUAGCCAGACUAGUCUCGAUCUGCUGACCUCGUGAUCCACCUGCCUUGGCCUCCCAAAGUGCUGGGAUUACAGGCAUGAGCCACCAUGCCUGGCCAAAAACCCAUCUUUUUCUACAUAGUUGCUGUUGCUGAUGUAAAGAAGUCUCGUGAACUCAAUCCAAAUAAUUCCACUGCUGUGCUGAGAAAAGGGUAUGCAAUAGCUACUCUUUUUGUUGAGCUUGGACUGUAAAUAAUAGAUGUUUAAUUUGUUGAAUGAGUUCAUUGUAAGCUUUAUAAGUAGUAAAAUUAUUUAUACAUAUUAUAGCAGAGAUAUGAUUCAAUUUUAAAUAUAAAGUUAUAGUUCUAUUAUUUUGUUAACCAUAAUAUGUGAUAGGAGAUCUAUACUUAAUAUAUUUUAAAAUAGUGAUGAUUGAAAUAACUGCAGGGUAUAGAUGAAACUGAUGCAUUUCACAUUCCUUUUUUGUUUAUCAUUUGGAAUUUACUCUAUUUAACUGACUGGUGAACAUCCUAUUAUUCAACCAAGCUGAAUAGGCUACAUUUAAUGCUAUGAAAGCUCUGUAUCUAUGUGCUUUAUAUCCCAUCUUGUUUCUGUUGAUAAGUGUAACUUUAUUCUUUAAGUAAGAAACUGCUUUAAUUCCUUUGUAUAAUUAUAUUUUGGAAUAAGCAAGUAUGUAUAAUUAAAGUGAAAUUCCUUCUGAAGUAAGUUCUAAAAUUGAAUUUUACUGGAAAUUAUACUAGAUGUUAACAGUAUUUUAGAAAGUCUCUUGGCUUACUAACAUAUGCUUAAAAUAAAUUUUUUCUUUCAACAAUAGAAAA
Homo sapiens (human) is the source of this 1051-nucleotide long non-coding RNA. Ensembl annotates it as SUGT1 pseudogene 3. Its record names the gene SUGT1P3. NCBI's taxonomy places the organism in Eukaryota, Metazoa, Chordata, Mammalia, Primates, Hominidae. The record is from Ensembl.